AGAAUCAACGCUGGCGGCGUGCCUAACACAUGCAAGUCGAACGAGAAAGUGGAGCAAUCCAUGAGUAAAGUGGCGCACGGGUGAGUAACACGUGACUAACCUACCUUUUAGUGGGGGAUAACCUAGGGAAACCUGGGCUAAUACCGCAUAAUACCUACGGGUCAAAGCAGCAAUGCGCUGAAAGAGGGGGUCGCGGUCGAUUAGUUAGUUGGCAGGGUAAUGGCCUACCAAGACUGUGAUCGAUAUCCGGCCUGAGAGGGCGCACGGACACACUGGAACUGAAACACGGUCCAGACUCCUACGGGAGGCAGCAGUGGGGAAUUUUGCGCAAUGGGGGAAACCCUGACGCAGCAACGCCGCGUGGAGGAUGAAGUCCCUUGGGACGUAAACUCCUUUCGAUGGGGAAGAUAAUGACGGUACCCAUAGAAGAAGCCCCGGCUAACUUCGCGCCAGCAGCCGC
This 460-nucleotide ribosomal RNA is filed under the name uncultured bacterium. RNAcentral's name for it is "SSU rRNA". It matches the Rfam family "Bacterial small subunit ribosomal RNA", at positions 26 to 518 of the family's 1533-position model. The record is from RNAcentral.